AGUGAACGCUGGCGGUAGGCCUAACACAUGCAAGUCGAACGGCAGCACAGUAAGAGCUUGCUCUUACGGGUGGCGAGUGGCGGACGGGUGAGGAAUACAUCGGAAUCUACUUUUUCGUGGGGGAUAACGUAGGGAAACUUACGCUAAUACCGCAUACGACCUACGGGUGAAAGCAUGGGAUCUUCGGACCUUGCGCGAUUGAAUGAGCCGAUGUCGGAUUAGCUAGUUGGCGGGGUAAAGGCCCACCAAGGCGACGAUCCGUAGCUGGUCUGAGAGGAGGAUCACCCACACGGGAAGUGGACCACGGUCCAGACUCCUACGGGAGGCAGCAGUGGGGAAUAUUGGACAAUGGGCGCAAGCCUGAUCCAGCCAUACCGCGUGGGUGAAGAAGGCCUUCGGGUUGUAAAGACCUUUUGUUGGGAAAGAAAAGCAGCAGGUUAAUACCCCGCUGUUCUGACGGUACCCAAAGAAUAAGCACCGGCUAACUUCGUG
RNAcentral lists this ribosomal RNA (492 nucleotides) under uncultured bacterium. RNAcentral's name for it is "partial 16S ribosomal RNA". It matches the Rfam family "Bacterial small subunit ribosomal RNA", at positions 29 to 507 of the family's 1533-position model. The record is from RNAcentral.